This 432-nucleotide ribosomal RNA is filed under the name uncultured bacterium. Its description in RNAcentral is "partial 16S ribosomal RNA". It matches the Rfam family "Bacterial small subunit ribosomal RNA", at positions 29 to 506 of the family's 1533-position model. The record is from RNAcentral.
AACGAACGCUGGCGGCAUGCCUAACACAUGCAAGUCGAACGAGACCUCCGUGUCUAGUUGCGCACGGGUGCGUAACGUGUGGGAACCUGCCCUUAGGCUCGGAAUAACUCCCUGAAAGGGGUGCUAAUAUCGGAUAACGUCCUCGGACACAAGAUUCAUCGGCUUUGGGUGGGCCCGCGUUCGUUUAGCUUGUUGGUAGGGUAAGAGCCUAUCAAGGCGACGAUCCAUAGCUGGUAUGAGAGCAUGAUCAGCAACACUGGGGGAGGGACACGGCCCAGACUCCUGCGGGAGGGAGCAGGGGGGAAUCAUGGACAACGGGCGAGAGCAUAAUCCAGCAGGGCCGCGUAAGUGAUGAAGGGGGUAAGAUAGUAAGGCUCUUUUACCCGCGAUGUUAAUGAGGGUCCCGAGAAAAUAGGCUCGGCCUAACUCCGU